RNAcentral lists this transfer RNA (74 nucleotides) under Emiliania huxleyi. RNAcentral describes it as "tRNA-Val". Lineage: Eukaryota; Haptophyta; Isochrysidales; Noelaerhabdaceae. The record is from RNAcentral. RNAcentral also lists the same sequence under 1 other name.
GUCCGUAUGGUCUAGUUGGUCAUGACGUCUGCCCAACAUGCAGAAGGUCCCCCGUUCGAACCGGGGUAUGGAUA